This is a long non-coding RNA of Perognathus longimembris pacificus (Pacific pocket mouse), 208 nucleotides long. RefSeq lists it as uncharacterized. The transcript is spliced from 3 exons. Lineage: Eukaryota; Metazoa; Chordata; Mammalia; Rodentia; Heteromyidae. The record is from RefSeq and is a predicted model, not a curated record.
UUCAAAGAUGACCUUGUGUGUCACUGGAGUUCAGGUUGGAGUUGGACCUAUGAUGGAUAAUGGGGCUUGGGAUCUGAAAUCAUUGGGUGGUGUUGAAAGGUCAUUUAAGGUCUCCUGUCUGCUUGGAGCAAGUCCAACCUCCAUAUUGGAUUCUGGAGUUAGGGUAAUUUCCACAUCAAAAGGUUGAACUCUGUUUAUUUCAAGUGAU